Molecule: microRNA precursor, 61 nt
Filed under: Ornithorhynchus anatinus (platypus)
Lineage: Eukaryota; Metazoa; Chordata; Mammalia; Monotremata; Ornithorhynchidae
Description: Oan-Mir-1350_pre stem-loop
Source: RNAcentral
UGGGAGAGGUCCCCAGGUGGCAAUGGGCAGUAUGUUUCCUGUCAACUGGGUCUCUCCUAGA